UUGUUUGCGGGUAGUGCCCUUAGC
Molecule: non-coding RNA, 24 nt
Filed under: Arabidopsis thaliana (thale cress)
Lineage: Eukaryota; Viridiplantae; Streptophyta; Magnoliopsida; Brassicales; Brassicaceae
Source: RNAcentral